RNAcentral lists this ribosomal RNA (910 nucleotides) under uncultured archaeon. RNAcentral's name for it is "bacterial SSU rRNA". It matches the Rfam family "Archaeal small subunit ribosomal RNA", at positions 23 to 912 of the family's 1478-position model. The record is from RNAcentral.
CUCACUGCUAUCGGGGUGAGACUUAACCAUGCAAGUCUAUGCCCACACCCAUCUGUGGGCAUGGCGUACAGCUCAGUAACACGUAGCCAACCUGCCCCAAGGAGAGGGAAACCCCCUGGGAAACUGGGGAUAACCCCCCAUAGGUGACGGGACCUGGAAUGACCCAUCACUCAAAGUGAUCUGGGAAGAUGGUUCUCAGGCCAGCCUUGGGAUGGGGCUGCGGCCGAUCAGGCUGUUGGUGAGGUAACGGCUCACCAAACCUAUAACCGGUACGGGCCGUGAGAGCGGUAGCCCGGAGAUGGACUCUGAGACAAUAGUCCAGGCCCUACGGGGCGCAGCAGGUGCGAAAACUCCGCAAUGCGCGCAAGCGCGACGGGGUCACCCCGAGUGCCGCCUUUUAGGUGGCUUUUACCCAGUGUAAAGAGCUGGGUGAAUAAAGGGGGGGCAAGACGGGUGUCAGCCGCCGCGGUAAUACCCGCUCCCUGAGUGGUGAGGGCUUUUAUUGGGCUUAAAGCGUCCGUAGCCGGCUUGGUGUGUCUCUCGUCAAAUCCGACGUCUCAAGCGUCGACCCGCGAGAGAGACUACCAGGCUUGAGGGUGGAAGAGGUCGACGGUAUCUCCGAGGUAGGGGUAAAAUCCACUGAUCUCGGGGAGACCACCAGUGGCGAAGGCGGUCGGCCAGGACACGCCUGACGGUGAGGGACGAAAGCUGGGGGAGCGAACUGGAUUAGAUACCCAGGUAGUCCCAGCUGUAAACGAUGCAGACUUGGUGUGAGGGUAGCUACGGGCUACCCUCGUGCCGAAGGGAAACCAUUAAGUCUGCCGCCUGGGGAGUACGGUCGCAAGGCUGAAACUUAAAGGAAUUGGCGGGGGAGCACCACAAGGCGUGGACGUUGCGGCUCAAUUGGAUU